Molecule: transfer-messenger RNA, 119 nt
Filed under: Cellulomonadaceae bacterium
Lineage: Bacteria; Bacillati; Actinomycetota; Actinomycetes; Micrococcales; Cellulomonadaceae
Description: partial transfer-messenger RNA
Rfam family: transfer-messenger RNA
About the family: Bacterial tmRNA, also known as 10Sa RNA or SsrA, is named for its dual tRNA and mRNA-like properties. Its role is to liberate the mRNA from a stalled ribosome.
Source: RNAcentral
GCCCGUCCGCCACUUGUCUGCGUGAUGGCGGGGGCCGAGAAACUCAGCUGCAGACUGCACACGGAGAAGCCCUGGUUCCACGUCAUCGGACGCGGGUUCGAUUCCCGCCACCUCCACCC